This 3452-nucleotide long non-coding RNA is filed under the name Mus musculus (house mouse). Its description in RNAcentral is "novel transcript". The record is from RNAcentral. Lineage: Eukaryota; Metazoa; Chordata; Mammalia; Rodentia; Muridae.
AUAUUUGAAAUGAACAUCCACCAUGCUCUUAAGAUGAAUCCAAGUUUCACUUAUGUUUGCAUUCAAGAAUGUCCUUUAUUUCCAAGCUGGACUUGGAGGCUUAGCCAAUAUGUUUCUUCUUUGUUUCUAUAUUUUCAUACUCAUAGGUAACAGACUUAAACCCACGGACUUGAUUUCCUGUCAACUCACCUUUAUUCACAUGAUGAUAUUCCUCACUGGAGGGGACCUGUUGAUUACAGACAUAUUUGCAUCGCUGAAUAUUGAUAAUGACUUCAUAUGUAAGGCAACAUUUUACAUAAGCAGAGUGACAAGAGGCCUCUCUAUCUGUACUACUUGCCUCCUGAGUGUGUUCCAGGCUGUCACUAUCAGUCCCAGUACCUCAAUGUUGGCAAAGUUUAAACAAAAACUAAAAAAAUACAUGAUCUAUGUUUUCUUGUGUAUUUGGUCUUUCAAUUUGUCCUACAGUAGUAACUGGUUCUUUUAUGUUCGUGGUUUUACUAAUGUGAGUGAGACUAACCAGAUGCAGGUCACUGAAUUCUGGCACACUUUUCCCCAUGAACUAUAUCAUCAGGGGAUUGAUGUUAACAGUGUCAAUCUCCAGAGAUGUGUUUCUUGUAGGAGUCAUGCUGAUCACAAGUACAUACAUGGUGAUUAUUUUGUGCAGACAUCAGAGGCAAUGCAAGCAUCUUCAUAGCAUCAACAACCUGAGAGCUUCCCCUGAGAAAAGAGCCACUCAGGCUAUCUUGCUGCUGGUUAUUUUCUUUGUGGUCAUGUACUGGGUGGACUUCAUCAUCUCAUCUAUAUCAGUCCUGUUGUGGAUGUAUGACCCAGUCAUCCUGAGGGUUCAGAAGUUUGUGAUGUAUGCCUUUCCCACAAUUAGUCCUUUGGUACAAAUCAGUUCUGAUAACAGAAUAAUAGUUAUGCUGAAACACGUGCACUUAAAGCACCACCAGAGUUUUUUUUGAAACGAUUUUUUUAUUUCUUUAAAAACCUACUAAUUUAUUUUUUUAUACAUGUGAGUGUUGUGCCAGCAUGUAUCUAUGUGUGCAUUCCUGCUACCCAUAGAGAUGAAAAGAUGCCAUGACACUCACUGAAAUUGGACUUAUAGAUGGCUAUAAGGAAUCAUUCUGUAAAGCACCAAUUAUUUUUUUCUAAAAUACAGUUUCUUUAAAACUUUAAUGUCCCAAGUACAUAUAUAGCAGAUGUACAACCCAGUCUCUAUGUGGAUUUCCCCCAAGUUGUGCCUGUUCCUAAAGCUGCUGUCUGUCAUGGAAUCCAUUCCCAACAGAACUGCCUUUCUAUUCUCAGCUGGAGAGGAUGCACCUAACCUUGCAGAAACUUUAUGUGCCCAAGUGGGGUAAUACAACGGUGUAGGGCACCGUCUCAGAUGAGAAAAUAUAAGGGAAGUGAGAUGGAAGCCUGUGAGAGGGCACCUGGUUGACAUUUAAGUGAAUGAAUGAAUGAAUCAAUGAAGUUCCUUAAAAAUUAAAUUCAAGUUUUGUUGAGUAUAGCCUUUUGUAGAAGCAUCUGAUGGUGUUUUGGAUUUCUUCAGGGUCUGUUGUUAUGUCUCCCUUUUUAUUUCUGAUUUUGUUAAUUAGGAUGUUGUCCCUGUGCCCUCUAAUGAGUCUAGCUAAGGGUUUAUCUAUCUUGUUGAUUUUCUCAAAGAACCAGCUCCUCCUUUGGUUGAUUCUUUCAAUAGUUCUUCUUGUUUCCACUAGGUUGAUUUUACCCCUGAGUCUGAUUAUUUCCUGCCAUCUACUACUCUUGAGUGAAUUUGCUUCCUUUUGUUCUAGAGCUUUUAGGUGUGGUGUCAAGCUGCUAGUGUGUGCUCUCUCUAGUUUCUUUUGGGGGGCACUCAGAGCUACUUUUCCUCUUAGAAAUUCUUUCAAUGUGUCCCAUAAGUUUGGGUAUGUUGUUGUUCCUCAGAAAAUUGGACAUAGUACUCCUGGAGGAUCCCGCAAUACCUCUCCUGGGCAUAUAUCCAGAAGAUGUUCCACCCGGUAAGAAGGACAUAAGCUCCACUAUGUUCAUAGCAGCCUUAUUUAUAAUAGCCAGAAGCUGGAAAGAACCCAGAUGCCCCUCAACAGAAGAAUGGACACAGAAGAUGUGAUACAUUUACACAAUGGAGUACUACUCGGUUAUUAAAAAGAAUGAAUUUAUGGAAUUCCUAGGCAAAUAGAUGGACCUGGAGGGCAUCAUCCUGAGUGAGGUAACCCAAUCACAAAAGAACUCAAAUGAUAUGUACUCACUGAUAAGUGGAUAUUAGCUCAGAAACGUAGAAUACCCAAGAUAUAAGAUACAAUUUGCUAAACACAUGAAACUCAAGAAGAACGAAGACCAAAGUGUGGAUACUUUGCCCCUUCUUAGAAUUGGGAAGAAAACACCCAUGGAAGGAGUUACAGAAACACAGUUGGGAGCUGAGACAAAAGGAUGGACCAUCUAGAGACUGCCAUAUCUGGGGAUCCAUCCCAUAAUCAACUUCCAAACGCUGACACCAUUGCAUACACUAGCAAUAUUUUGCUGAAAUGACCCAGAUAUAUCUGUCUCUUGUGAGACUAUGCUGAGGCCUAGCAAACACAGAAGUGUAUGCUCACAGUCAGCUAUUGGAUGGAUCACAGGGCCCCCAAUGGAGGAGCUAGAGAGUAACCAAGGGGCUAAAGGGAUCUGCAACCCUAUAGGUGGAACAACAAUAUGAACUACCCAGUACCCCUCCCCCCCCCCCAGAGCUCAUGUCUCUAGCUGCAUAUGUAUCAGAAGAUGGCCUAAUCGGCCAUCAGUAGAAAGAGAGGCCCAUUGGUCAUACAAACUUUAUAUGCCUUAGUACAGGGGAAAGACAGGGCCAAGAAGUGGGAGUGGGUGGGUGGGGGAGUGGGUGAGGGAGCAUGUGGGGGACUUUUGGGAUAGCAUUGGAAAUGUAAAUGAAAUAAAUUCCUAAUAAAAAAAUUAAACUCAACGUUUCAGGUAGCAAAGCAGGAUUGUUCAUAUGAUUUAAUAAAAAUUUUGCAUUAUUACACAUAGACAUUCAUAUACAUUUUUGACAUUUCUGUUGCUAAGUACUAGAAAGUUUUUAAGUUAAUUGCCCAGGAUAAGUUGAUAUUUCUACAUGAAAUCUCUCUUUCUCCUUUGUACUUUGUAAAAUGAAUAUUCCCUUGCUGUCGAGUUUACUCCAAAGAAGACCCUUGCUGAUAGUGACUUUCUAAGCUUUCUCUCCAAAAGAUUUCAGUCUACUCUCUCUCACCAAGAAUAGCUUAAAUAUUUUAUUGUAGCUUUAAUUCUAUUUCCUAAUUAUAAUUUUUCUGGAUCCAUAAAAAUACUGUGAGUUUAGGGUCCCACUGUUUUUUACUACAAUUACUUAAUCAAUUUUAUAUGAAAAUAUCAUGUGCCUGUUUAUUUGUACUUCAUUUCAUUUACAUGUACUAAAAUAUUAUUAGUAAAUAAAAAUUGUUUAGAUA